AUUGAACGCUGGCGGCAUGCCUUACACAUGCAAGUCGAACGGCAGCACGGGAGCUUGCUCCUGGUGGCGAGUGGCGAACGGGUGAGUAAUACAUCGGAACGUACCCAGGAGUGGGGGAUAACGUAGCGAAAGUUACGCUAAUACCGCAUAUUCUGUGAGCAGGAAAGCGGGGGAUCGCAAGACCUCGCGCUCUUGGAGCGGCCGAUGUCGGAUUAGCUAGUUGGUGAGGUAAAAGCUCACCAAGGCGACGAUCCGUAGCAGGUCUGAGAGGAUGAUCUGCCACACUGGGACUGAGAAACGGCCCAGACUCCUACGGGAGGCAGCGGUGGGGAAUUUUGGACAAUGGGGGCAACCCUGAUCCAGCCAUGCCGCGUGAGUGAAGAAGGCCUUCGGGUUGUAAAGCUCUUUCGGCGGGGAAGAAAUGGCAACGGCUAAUAUCCGUUGUUGAUGACGGUACCCGCAUAAGAAGCACCGGCUAACUACGUGCCAGCCGCCGCCGUAA
Molecule: ribosomal RNA, 502 nt
Filed under: uncultured bacterium
Lineage: Bacteria
Description: partial 16S ribosomal RNA
Rfam family: Bacterial small subunit ribosomal RNA
Source: RNAcentral